This 399-nucleotide ribosomal RNA is filed under the name Triticum aestivum (bread wheat). RNAcentral describes it as "partial small subunit ribosomal RNA". The record is from RNAcentral. Lineage: Eukaryota; Viridiplantae; Streptophyta; Magnoliopsida; Poales; Poaceae.
AUGGAGAAUGCACUGUCCAAGUUGUGGGAUAUGUAUGAGCAGUCCAAGAGAAACAGGACUGAGGACAAUCUGACGAACUCAUUUGCUGUUCACAAACUGACACAAGAGAAGAUCAAGCUGCAGGCCAGUUAUGACAAGUUGGUUGGAGAUGUUCAAGCCCUUCUGGAUGAGAAUGAGAGGAGGGCCCAGAUGGAAAGGAAGCCUGAUGAGAGCAAGCUCCAGGAGAAGUAUGACAUGGUUAAGAACCUGACAGUAUCUCAAGCCAGUGUCAUUAGGAACAUGAAGUUGAAGCUUGCUGAAGAGAAGACUAAGUUGCAGGCCCAUAUUGAUGAGCUUGAGAAGGUUGUGGAGCAGACCAAGGCCAAGCUGAAUGGGAUCAAGGCAAUCUUAGAUGAAUGA